This 624-nucleotide ribosomal RNA is filed under the name Diaporthe longicolla. RNAcentral's name for it is "LSU rRNA". It matches the Rfam family "Eukaryotic large subunit ribosomal RNA", at positions 42 to 661 of the family's 3401-position model. Lineage: Eukaryota; Fungi; Ascomycota; Sordariomycetes; Diaporthales; Diaporthaceae. The record is from RNAcentral.
AUCAAUAAGCGGAGGAAAAGAAACCAACAGGGAUUGCCCUAGUAGCGGCGAGUGAAGCGGAACAGCUCAAAUUUGAAAUCUGGCCUCGGCCCGAGUUGUAAUUUGCAGAGGAUGCUUCUGGCGCGGUGCCUUCCGAGUUCCCUGGAACGGGACGCCACAGAGGGUGAGAGCCCCGUACUGGUCGGACACCAAGCCUGUGUGAAGCUCCUUCGACGAGUCGAGUAGUUUGGGAAUGCUGCUCUAAAUGGGAGGUAAAUCUCUUCUAAAGCUAAAUACCGGCCAGAGACCGAUAGCGCACAAGUAGAGUGAUCGAAAGAUGAAAAGCACCUUGAAAAGGGGGUUAAAUAGUACGUGAAAUUGUUGAAAGGGAAGCACUUAUGACCAGACUUGGACCGGGCGGCUCAUCAGGGGUUCUCGCCAGUGUAUUACGCUUUAGACGGGUCAACAUCAGUUUUAGACGGGGGAAAAAGGCAUGAGGAACGUAGCAUCUCCGGUUGUGUUAUAGCCUCCUGUUGCAUACCCUGGCGGGGACUGAGGAAUGCGCUUCGCCUUUAUGGCCGGGGUUGUCCCACGUACCAGCUUAGGAUGUUGACCUAAUGGCUUUAAGCGACCCGUCUUGGAAGG